Molecule: ribosomal RNA, 253 nt
Filed under: uncultured bacterium
Lineage: Bacteria
Description: partial 16S ribosomal RNA
Rfam family: Bacterial small subunit ribosomal RNA
Source: RNAcentral
UACGUAGGGUGCGAGCGUUGUCCGGAAUUAUUGGGCGUAAAGAGCUUGUAGGCGGUUUGUCGCGUCUGCUGUGAAAAUCCGGGGCUCAACCCCGGACUUGCAGUGGGUACGGGCAGACUAGAGUGUGGUAGGGGAGACUGGAAUUCCUGGUGUAGCGGUGAAAUGCGCAGAUAUCAGGAGGAACACCGGUGGCGAAGGCGGGUCUCUGGGCCGAUAUUGACGCUGAGGAGCGAAAGCGUGGGGAGCAAACAGG